AUUUAAAUAGUUUAAAAAAAAUUUUAGUUUGUGGAACUAAGGAUAUCUGUAUGGUUUUAAAUU
Molecule: transfer RNA, 63 nt
Filed under: Cucujoidea sp. 23 KM-2017
Lineage: Eukaryota; Metazoa; Arthropoda; Insecta; Coleoptera
Description: tRNA-His
Source: RNAcentral